This 253-nucleotide ribosomal RNA is filed under the name uncultured bacterium. RNAcentral's name for it is "partial 16S ribosomal RNA". It matches the Rfam family "Bacterial small subunit ribosomal RNA", at positions 524 to 776 of the family's 1533-position model. The record is from RNAcentral.
UACGGAGGGUGCAAGCGUUAGGCGGAAUCACUGGGCUUAAAGCGUGUGUAGGCGGAUCGUUAAGUGUCUUGUGAAAUCCCACGGCUCACCCGUGGAACUGCUGGGCAUACUGGCGAUCUUGGGCCAACUAGGGGCAGUCGGAACAAGCGGUGGAGCGGUGAAAUGCGUAGAUAUCGCUUGGAACGCCGAAGGUGAAAACAGACUGCUGGGGUUGCGCCGACGCUGAGACACGAAAGCCAGGGGAGCAAACGGG